UACGAAGGGGGCUAGCGUUGCUCGGAAUCACUGGGCGUAAAGGGCGCGUAGGCGGUCGUGACAAGUCACUUGUGAAAUCUCCGGGCUUAACUCGGAACGGUCAAGUGAUACUGUCGGACUAGAGUACAGAAGGGGCAACUGGAAUUCUCGGUGUAGCGGUGAAAUGCGUAGAUAUCGAGAGGAACACCUGCGGCGAAGGCGGGUUGCUGGGCUGAUACUGACGCUGAGGCGCGAAAGCCAGGGGAGCGAACGGG
This 254-nucleotide ribosomal RNA is filed under the name uncultured bacterium. RNAcentral's name for it is "partial 16S ribosomal RNA". It matches the Rfam family "Bacterial small subunit ribosomal RNA", at positions 524 to 776 of the family's 1533-position model. The record is from RNAcentral.